This 383-nucleotide ribosomal RNA is filed under the name uncultured bacterium. RNAcentral's name for it is "bacterial SSU rRNA". It matches the Rfam family "Bacterial small subunit ribosomal RNA", at positions 524 to 906 of the family's 1533-position model. The record is from RNAcentral.
UACGAAGGGGGCAAGCGUUGUUCGGAAUUACUGGGCGUAAAGGGCGCGUAGGCGGUGCACUAAGUCAGGCGUGAAAGCCCUGGGCUCAACCCGGGAAUUGCGCUUGAUACUGGUGUGCUUGAAUCCAGGAGAGGUUGGUGGAAUUCCCAGUGUAGAGGUGAAAUUCGUAGAGGUUGGGAAGAACACCGGUGGCGAAGGCGGCCAACUGGACUGGUAUUGACGCUGAUGCGCGAAAGCGUGGGGAGCAAACAGGAUUAGAUACCCUGGUAGUCCACGCUGUAAACGAUGUGUGCUAGCCGUUGGGGCUCUUAGAGCUUCGGUGGCGUCGCUAACGCUUUAAGCACACCGCCUGGGGAGUACGGUCGCAAGAUUAAAACUCAAAG